Molecule: ribosomal RNA, 253 nt
Filed under: uncultured bacterium
Lineage: Bacteria
Description: partial 16S ribosomal RNA
Rfam family: Bacterial small subunit ribosomal RNA
Source: RNAcentral
UACGGAGGGAGCGAGCGUUAUCCGGAAUCACUGGGUUUAGAGGGUGCGUAGGCGGCGUGGUAAGUCAGAGGUGAAAGCUUCCCGCUUAACGGGAGAGGGGCCUUUGAUACUGCCAGGCUUGAAUUGGGUUGAGGCAGGCGGAAUGUGGCAUGUAGCGGUGAAAUGCAUAGAUAUGCCAUAGAACACCGAUUGCGAAGGCAGCCUGCCAAGCCUUGAUUGACGCUGAGGCACGAAAGCGUGGGGAGCGAACAGG